CAAAGGUGAGCCAGUACAGGAUGGACCCGCGUCUGAUUAGCUAGUUGGUAAGGUAACGGCUUACCAAGGCGACGAUCAGUAGCCGACCUGAGAGGGUGAUCGGCCACAUUGGAACUGAGACACGGUCCAAACUCCUACGGGAGGCAGCAGUGGGGAAUAUUGCACAAUGGGCGAAAGCCUGAUGCAGCAACGCCGCGUGAGUGAUGAAGGCCUUCGGGUCGUAAAACUCUGUCCUCAAGGAAGAUAAUGACGGUACUUGAGGAGGAAGCCCCGGCUAACUACGUGCCAGCAGCCGCGGUAAUACGUAGGGGGCUAGCGUUAUCCGGAUUUACUGGGCGUAAAGGGUGCGUAGGCGGUCUUUCAAGUCAGGAGUGAAAGGCUACGGCUCAACCGUAGUAAGCUCUUGAAACUGGGAGACUUGAGUGCAGGAGAGGAGAGUGGAAUUCCUAGUGUAGCGGUGAAAUGCGUAGAUAUUAGGAGGAACACCAGUUGCGAAGGCGGCUCUCUGGACUGUAACUGACGCUGAGGCACGAAAGCGUGGGGAGCAAACAGGAUUAGAUACCCUGGUAGUCCACGCUGUAAACGAUGAGUACUAGGUGUCGGGGG
This 606-nucleotide ribosomal RNA is filed under the name uncultured bacterium. Its description in RNAcentral is "bacterial SSU rRNA". It matches the Rfam family "Bacterial small subunit ribosomal RNA", at positions 202 to 829 of the family's 1533-position model. The record is from RNAcentral.